GCUUCGACCAAGGUGCGACUCGAGCGCCAGCGAGAAAGCGUUGCCGCAGGCAACGACCCGAAGGGUGAAGCGCGCAGCGCUGAGUAAUCCUUCCCCCACCACCA
Molecule: small RNA, 104 nt
Filed under: Escherichia coli
Lineage: Bacteria; Pseudomonadati; Pseudomonadota; Gammaproteobacteria; Enterobacterales; Enterobacteriaceae
Description: partial RtT sRNA
Rfam family: RtT RNA
About the family: This family represents a bacterial cis-regulatory element known as RtT RNA. The exact function of RtT is unknown although it is thought that it may be involved in changing the cellular response in relation to amino acid starvation.
Source: RNAcentral